This is a small nucleolar RNA of Lactuca sativa (garden lettuce), 107 nucleotides long. The record is from RefSeq and is a predicted model, not a curated record. NCBI's taxonomy places the organism in Eukaryota, Viridiplantae, Streptophyta, Magnoliopsida, Asterales, Asteraceae.
AGAUCAUUUUGAGGACAAUUCCUCAACAAACCCUUGUAUCGCUCCCAUGCCUCAUACAGUGACUCCCCCACUUGUUUCUUGAAAUUUGCAAUAGCCUUCUUCAACUU